AGAGUUUGAUCCUAGCUCAGGAUGAACGCUGGCGGCGUGUCUAAGGCAUGCAAGUCGAACGAUCUCUUCGGAGAGAGUGGCAAACGGGUGAGUAACACAUUGGUAAUCUGCCUCGAAGUGGGGGACAACCUUUCGAAAGGAAGGCUAAUCCCGCAUGUGGUCAUCUUGCACGAGCAAGAUGAAGAAAGGCUAGCAAUAGUCGCUUCGAGAGGAGCCUAUGGCCUAUCAGCUUGUUGGUAAGGUAAUGGCUUACCAAGGCUUCGACGGGUAGCGGGUGUGAGAGCAUGACCCGCCUCACUGGGACUGAGACACUGCCCAGACUCCUACGGGAGGCUGCAGUCAAGAAUAUUUCGCAAUGCCCGAAAGGGUGACGGAGCGACGCCGCGUGAAUGAAGACGCCCCUCGGGGUGUAAAAUUCUUUUAUCAGGGACGAACAAAUGACGGUACCUGAUGAAUAAGUCACUGCUAACCUCGUGCCAGCAGCAGCGGUAAUACGAGGGUGACAAGCGUUAUCCGGAUUUAUUGGGCGUAAAGCGUACGCAGGCGGUUUGUUAAGUCGGAUGUCAAAUCUCGAUGCUCAACAUCGAAACCGCGUCCGAUACUGGCAGACUAGAGACUGGGAGAGGCAAGUGGAAUGGCCGGUGUAGUAGUAAUAUGCAUUAAUAUCGGCUGGAACACCAAAAGCGAAGGCAGCUUGCUAGAACAGUUCUGACGCUCAUGUACGAAAGCGUGGGGAGCGAAGGGGAUUAGAUACCCCCGUAGUCCACGCCGUAAACGAUGGAUACUAGGUAUUGGAAGUAUCGACCCUUUCAGUAUCGUUCAAAAUAGCUAACGCGUUAAGUAUCCCGCCUGUGGAGUACGGCCGCAAGGCUAAAACACAAAGGAAUUGACGGGAACCCGCACAAGCGGUGGAGCAUGUGGUUUAAUUCGACGAUAAGCGAAGAACCUUACCAGGGCUUGACAUCCCCGGAACGUCUUGGAAACAAGACCGUGCCCGCAAGGGAGCCGGGUGACAGGUGCUGCAUGGUUGCCGUCAGCUCGUAUCGUGAGACGUUGGGUUAAGUCCCAUAACGAGCGCAACCCUUAUCCUCUGUUACACUUUCAGAGGAGACUGCCGAUUCUAAUCGGAGGAAGGAGGGGACGACGUCAAAUCAGCAUGGCCCUCUGACGCCCUGGGCAACACACGUGCUACAAUGGUCAGUACAAUGGGUCGCCAAACCGCAAGGUGGAGCCAAUCCCAUCAAAACUGGCCUCAGUUCGGAUUGAGGUCUGCAACUCGACCUCAUGAAGUUGGAAUCGCUAGUAACCGCAGGUCAGCUAUACUGCGGUGAAUACGUUCUCGGGUUUUGUACACACCGCCCGUCACGUCAAGGGAGUCAGGAGUGCCCGAAGACCCUCGUGCGAGGGGCUAAGGCAAGCUUGGCGACAGGGACGAAGUCGUAACAAGGCA
RNAcentral lists this ribosomal RNA (1450 nucleotides) under metagenome. Its description in RNAcentral is "bacterial SSU rRNA". It matches the Rfam family "Bacterial small subunit ribosomal RNA". The record is from RNAcentral.